Molecule: ribosomal RNA, 253 nt
Filed under: uncultured bacterium
Lineage: Bacteria
Description: partial 16S ribosomal RNA
Rfam family: Bacterial small subunit ribosomal RNA
Source: RNAcentral
UAUGGAGGGUGCGAGGGUUAAUCGGAAUUACUGGGCGUAAAGCGUGCGCAGGCGGUUUCGUAAGACAGAUGUGAAAUCCCCGGGCUUAACCUGGGAACUGCGUUUGUGACUGCGAGACUCGAGUGUGGCAGAGGGGGGUGGAAUUCCACGUGUAGCAGUGAAAUGCGUAGAGAUGUGGAGGAACACCGAUGGCGAAGGCAGCCCCCUGGGUUGACACUGACGCUCAUGCACGAAAGCGUGGGUAGCAAACAGG